CUUGUCUAUUUCUGGGAAAUCAGCAUUUGCACUUGUACAAAACUGAUUAGAGUUUCUGGUCUUUGGAAAAUCUUUCUAUGAUUAUAGAUUGGCAAAUUCUGUCCUGGGCAGACAAUUUAACGUAAGACGAAAGAUCCGAGAAGAUUUUUGCGUGGCCUUUUGAGAUUGGGCUUGAGGAUCCAAGACUGCAAUUUUCAUUUUUUAGUGCUUUGUUGGAUUGCUAAAGAUUUGUUGGGUUGUGAUUUGUUUGGUCGAUUUUUUUGAGACCUAAUUAACUCUUUUGCUGCCUAUGAAAUCGAAUCAUCCAUCGUAUAAUUUUCUUUUUAAAGUUUUGAUUUCAAAAGCCACACUCAGAUUAGUGAAACCAGAUGGGCAAACUCUUGAUCACAUUGAAAACGUUGAAAUACCUGAAAGUAUAUUAAUCGGUUUGAAUAUGUUGUAUUCUUGAAUGCCAUUAGGUUUUUGGUGAGAAAGGGAAAGGAUUUGGACGGUCUGAAAUUGCUAAAACAAAUGAAGAUGAAUGACACAAAGCUGGAUGUAAUGUGCUACACUUUGGUACUUGAUGAGCUGAUUCACAAUAGGGAUUUUUAUUUUUUACUUUUAGAGCACACAAAGUGUUCGAUGAAUUGCUUCUUUCAGGGUGAAUGGUUUGUCUUCAAAAGCAGUUGAACUGCUGGAGGUGGGAAACGAUGCUGCACCAGGGGCAAGAACAUGGCAAGCACAGAUUCAAGGUCCUAGAUGUUGAGAAGAUUGAUGAAUUGGCCAAAAUUCAAGCUAAAGAAUUACAGAUUGAAAGUAAUUGUUGUGGAUCCCGGGAUUCGAGCUCCAGGCUUAAUCCAGUGCAAUCACCAGGCCAUGAAUGGUGUAUAUUUUCUCAGGAGCUGGCCUCCCUGGAUCCCCCAAGAAUCUAACAAAUUGUGGAAUGAGACAGGUGUGUAUCUCUUGAUUGUCUACUUUAUUACAUAAAUAUAGAAACACAUAUAUAUUCUUUUGACAUGGAUUUCCACUGCCUAGAAGUGAGUAAACAAUGGCAACAAUCAUUUAUGUAAAUGCAUAAUGUGUGUAUUUAUACAUGUCUUGGAAACCGUUCAAUUAGAUAUAUAUUUCCAGCGAAAAUGGCUGAUUCAGAGAUGUCAAUUUCCAAACUAUACUUGACAUCAUAAGAUCUAAGAAAAAUGAUUAAUAUUGUUGUGCAAUUAGUGGUUAAUGGGUUGUUAAGACCAUUCCCAUGGAUUAAGGAAAAAAGCAUAUGAGACAGGCACAAAAACCAGACAUGUCAUAUAAUUAAUUGGUAUGAUAGGGAAUGUAUUUCCAAACCACCUAAAAUUAAAUAUUAUUAAAUUAGUAGUAGUGGGAUGGAUUUUUAAGUGAUGGGAUGUAAGUAAAAACAUGGCCCUACUUCUCCUGGAUAUAAAAAAGUUGAACUUUAAUUAGAUAAUUAAAUUAGUAUAACCUUUCUUGUUGAUUCCCACUUCACUGUCCUGUUAAUGUGACUUGAGUCAUGUAGCAUUUGAAUUUUACAUAACCCAAAAAGAUUUAUUUCUUUUUAUAUUAUGGCCAAUUGGGAUGAUUAAUUAAUUAAACCACAAGACAGUACUAGAAGCUUAAUUAUUUAUUAGAACAGAAACCCUAAAAACCCUAUUUCUGAAAUCAAACUAAUUCAUAAUCUUGAUGUUAAUUACUACAACAAACUAUUAUUUCUGACUUUUGUUUGCUGCAAUCUGAUUAUUUUUUUUGUCUUACAGUACUUGGAUUAGUUCCAAGUGGGAUUAAUUGAUCGAUUUUUAAAGUUUAUGAUCUUCUGAGAGCAUUCUAGGGUUUAUAGUGGGGAACAUUUUCACUGGUUAUAUGCCCAUUUUUGCUGAUAUAUGCAAUCAUCAUGAUGACACACACACACCAACAUUACUGCUCUUUUUCCACUGUCUUGUAAAUAAAUACUUUAAGAUUAGUGCACGAUAAUUAACUCAUCUUUGAAUUCUAAGCAUAAGACAAAUUUAAAAAGCUUUAUAUAAAUUUUUUUGAUCAAGAAAGUGACAGCCAUUAAACCCUAAUUUGAGUCUAAUCAUAUAUGAUCAA
Molecule: long non-coding RNA, 2076 nt
Organism: Andrographis paniculata
Lineage: Eukaryota; Viridiplantae; Streptophyta; Magnoliopsida; Lamiales; Acanthaceae
Exons: 3
Source: RefSeq, a predicted model, not a curated record